This 253-nucleotide ribosomal RNA is filed under the name uncultured bacterium. RNAcentral describes it as "partial 16S ribosomal RNA". It matches the Rfam family "Bacterial small subunit ribosomal RNA", at positions 524 to 776 of the family's 1533-position model. The record is from RNAcentral.
UACGGGGGGAGCAAGCGUUGUUCGGAUUUACUGGGCGUAAAGGGCGCGUAGGCGGUAGCACAAGUCAGUUGUGAAAUCUCCGGGCUUAACUCGGAAAGGUCAACUGAUACUGUGCGACUAGAGUGGAGAAGGGGCAACUGGAAUUCUCGGUGUAGCGGUGAAAUGCGUAGAUAUCGAGAGGAACACCUGCGGCGAAGGCGGGUUGCUGGGCUGACACUGACGCUGAGGCGCGAAAGCCAGGGGAGCGAACGGG